RNAcentral lists this long non-coding RNA (551 nucleotides) under Capsicum annuum. RNAcentral's name for it is "long non-coding RNA (CANN_LNC014896)". The record is from RNAcentral. Lineage: Eukaryota; Viridiplantae; Streptophyta; Magnoliopsida; Solanales; Solanaceae.
UUUAGUAAAAAAGAAGAAGGAAUAGAAGAGUUUGGAUUGGUUUUUCUGAGUUCACCGGAAUCAUCAUCUCCUCCAGCGAAACCUACCGGAAUCGCCAAAAUAUUCACUAGAAUAACUCCGGCAGAACCAACAAAAUCAAAUCCGACCAAAUGUCGAAUCCAUGUGCUGCAUCUCUCUCUUUCUUUUCCCUCUUUCCGUAGACCACCAUCACUGGUGAAUACCAACUCCGAUCAAAUCUGGACGAAAAUCACCGGAACCAUCCUUCCUUCGCUGGAAAACAUUUUCAACUCAUCCUGUCGCCGAAAAAUCAGCCAAACCGCCAGAUCUGCUGCUACAGACGGCGCCAGCCGCGCCUCUACCAUCAAAAUCAAACACAUCGCCUACCCCAUUUCCCUCCUCCAUAGCUGGAAAUAGACAAACACACCCAAAAUCAAUCCGUCAUCACUGCAGCCUCAUCCGAAUGAAAGAAGGCCAACGUCGCUGUCGCCGGCGGCAAUGAUGAAAAUGGUAGUAAUUGAGAGAGAGAGAGAGAGAGAGAGAGAAGAAAGAAA